This is a long non-coding RNA of Eubalaena glacialis (North Atlantic right whale), 1356 nucleotides long. RefSeq lists it as uncharacterized. The transcript has 4 exons. The record is from RefSeq and is a predicted model, not a curated record. Lineage: Eukaryota; Metazoa; Chordata; Mammalia; Artiodactyla; Balaenidae.
GUUGCAGUUGCAGCCGGCCGGAUGGAGGUCAAAUAGUAGGAAGCAUUUACUGCCCGGGGCAGAGUGGUGCGGUCUCUAGUUUCCUCUUGCGGUUUGGUAGAAAGAGAACAGAAGCUGUUGAGUUGCCGUUGACCUCAGGCCUUAAAGAAAGCUGCUGCAGCUCCAGGCAUCACAUCUUCCCAUUAAUGACCCAAGCAGAAAGGAAGGGAGCAACGAGGGCUUUCUUCUGUUGAUGCUCCGUCCCCAGGGUUUUUGUUUAUUUUUUGGCUGUGCCUCAUAGCAUAUGGGAUCUUAGUUCCCCGACCAGGGAUUGAACCUGUGCCCCAUGCAGUGGGAGCGCAGUCUCAACCACUGGACCACCAGGGAAGUCUCCUUCUCUUCUUUUAAAAAAUAAUUUUUUUGAGGCAUAAUUUACAUACCACAAAAAUCACUCGUUUUAAGUGCACAAUUCUCAGUUAUAAAAAUGAUUCUAGAGAGACAGGUGGGGAACCGUGGAGAGUAGAAGAGGUGGACAGUCUAGGUAGAUGGAUUGAAAAUAGAGAUCAUGGAAUUCCCUGGCAGUCCAGUGGUUAGGACUCCGUGAUCUCACUGCCGAGGGCCUGGAUUCCAUCCCUGAUCAGGGAACUAAGAUCCCGAAAGCCACACGGCACAGCCGAAAAAAAAACAAGAAAAGAAAAUAGAGAUCAAAGGAGAAGAUGGAGAGAAGAAAUGGUGCAGAUCUGAGAAGACAGAAUAGGGUAUCCAGGAGGGACUGAUAGGUGAUUCUCUCACCUGCACAUCGAGCUCCUGGCUUCGAGGGUCUUGCAGGAAGAACCGGAAGGCCUCCUCCCACACCGGGCCGUUGGUGUUAUAGACAGCCUGGAGAUGUGCAGGAUGUGAUCAAGUGAAGGAAGGCGGGCUGUCAUCAGAAUCCUUCCCCUGGGGCUUCCCUGGUGGCGCAGUGGUUAAGAAUCCGCCUGCCCGGGACUUCCCUGGUGGCGCAGUGGUUAAGAAUCUGCCUGCCAAUGCAGGGGACACGGGUUUGAGCCCUGGGGCGGGAAGAUCCCACAUGCUGCAGAGCAACUAAGCCCGUGCACCGCAACUACUGAGCUUGCGCUCUAGAGCCCGCGAGCCACAACUACUGAGCCUGUGCACCUAGAGCCUGUGCUCCGCAACAAGAGAAGCCACCACAAUGAGAAGCCCGUGCAGCGCAACGAAGAGUAGCCCCCGCUCGCCGCAACUAGACAAAGCUCGUGCACAGCAACAAAGACCCAAUGCAGCCACAAAUAAAUAAAUUAAAUAAAUAAAGAUUAUAAGAGAAUAUUAUGAACAACUUUAUACAAAUAGUUAGAAAACAUCGAUUAAAUAGAUAAUUUA